GCCAGAUGUGGUGGCGCGCACCUGUAGUCCCAGCUACUUGGAUGGCUGAGGCAGGAGGAUCACUUGAACCCAGGAGGUUGAGGCUGCAGUGAGCAGAGGUGGUUCCACUGCACUCCAGCCUGGGUGACAAAGUGAGACCCUGUCUCAA
This 148-nucleotide non-coding RNA is filed under the name Gorilla gorilla gorilla (western lowland gorilla). The record is from Rfam by way of RNAcentral. Lineage: Eukaryota; Metazoa; Chordata; Mammalia; Primates; Hominidae.